This 427-nucleotide ribosomal RNA is filed under the name uncultured bacterium. RNAcentral describes it as "bacterial SSU rRNA". It matches the Rfam family "Bacterial small subunit ribosomal RNA", at positions 355 to 774 of the family's 1533-position model. The record is from RNAcentral.
UGGGGAAUUUUGGACAAUGGGCGCAAGCCUGAUCCAGCAAUGCCGCGUGCAGGAUGAAGGCCUUCGGGUUGUAAACUGCUUUUGUACGGAACGAAACGGCUCUGGUUAAUACCUGGGGCUAAUGACGGUACCGUAAGAAUAAGCACCGGCUAACUACGUGCCAGCAGCCGCGGUAAUACGUAGGGUGCGAGCGUUAAUCGGAAUUACUGGGCGUAAAGCGUGCGCAGGCGGUGAUGUAAGACAGAUGGGAAAUCCCCGGGCUCAACCUGGGACCUGCAUUUGUGACUGCCUCGCUGGAGUGCGGCAGAGGGGGAUGGAAUUCCGCGUGUAGCAGUGAAAUGCGUAGAUAUGCGGAGGAACACCGAUGGCGAAGGCGAUCCCCUGGGCCUGCACUGACGCUCAGGCACGAAAGCGUGGGGAGCAAACA